GAUGAACGCUGGCGGCGUGCCUAAUACAUGCAAGUAGAACGCUGAAGCUUGGUGCUUGCACCGAGCGGAUGAGUUGCGAACGGGUGAGUAACGCGUAGGUAACCUGCCUCUUAGCGGGGGAUAACUAUUGGAAACGAUAGCUAAUACCGCAUAAAAGACGAUAUCGCAUGAUAUUGAUUUGAAAGGUGCAAAUGCAUCACUAAGAGAUGGACCUGCGUUGUAUUAGCUAGUUGGUGAGGUAACGGCUCACCAAGGCAAUGAUACAUAGCCGACCUGAGAGGGUGAUCGGCCACACUGGGACUGAGACACGGCCCAGACUCCUACGGGAGGCAGCAGUAGGGAAUCUUCGGCAAUGGGGGCAACCCUGACCGAGCAACGCCGCGUGAGUGAAGAAGGUUUUCGGAUCGUAAAGCUCUGUUGUAAGAGAAGAACGAGUGUGAGAGUGGAAAGUUCACACUGUGACGGUAACUUACCAGAAAGGGACGGCUAACUACGUGCCAGCAGCCGCGGUAAUACGUAGGUCCCGAGCGUUAUCCGGAUUUAUUGGGCGUAAAGCGAGCGCAGGCGGUUAGAUAAGUCUGAAGUUAAAGGCUGUGGCUUAACCAUAGUACGCUUUGGAAACUGUUUAACUUGAGUGCAGAAGGGGAGAGUGGAAUUCCAUGUGUAGCGGUGAAAUGCGUAGAUAUAUGGAGGAACACCGGUGGCGAAAGCGGCUCUCUGGUCUGUAACUGACGCUGAGGCUCGAAAGCGUGGGGAGCAAACAGG
Molecule: ribosomal RNA, 765 nt
Filed under: uncultured Streptococcus sp.
Lineage: Bacteria; Bacillati; Bacillota; Bacilli; Lactobacillales; Streptococcaceae
Description: bacterial SSU rRNA
Rfam family: Bacterial small subunit ribosomal RNA
Source: RNAcentral